RNAcentral lists this unclassified non-coding RNA (393 nucleotides) under uncultured Candida. Its description in RNAcentral is "sequence contains ITS2". The stretch from base 1 to 152 matches the Rfam family "5.8S ribosomal RNA". Lineage: Eukaryota; Fungi; Ascomycota; Saccharomycetes; Saccharomycetales. The record is from RNAcentral.
AACUUUCGGCAAUGGAUCUCUUGGUUCUCGCAUCGAUGAAGAACGCAGCAAAAUGCGAUAAGUAAUGUGAAUUGCAGAAUUGUGAAUCAUCGAAUCUUUGAACGCACAUUGCGGCUUUUGGUAUUCCGAAAGCCAUGCCUGUUUGAGCGUCAUUUCUUUCUCAACUAUUAUUGUUGGUAUUGACAAACUAGUCCUUUGUAAAAUGAGGACUAUUUGUUGAAAGAAAUUGGUGGAUCUGACUUGAGUCACUAAAACAAAACGUAUUAGGUUUUCCCAACUCGUUUUCCAAAGUAACUCGUUUCUUACGGUCCACCUAAAACAAACCUUUAAACGUUUGACCUCAAAUCAAGUAAGACUACCCGCUGAACUUAAGCAUAUCUAUAAGCGGAGGCU